Molecule: small RNA, 142 nt
Filed under: Desulfotomaculum nigrificans
Lineage: Bacteria; Bacillati; Bacillota; Clostridia; Eubacteriales; Desulfotomaculaceae
Also listed under: 1 other name
Description: c-di-AMP sequence
Rfam family: c-di-AMP riboswitch aptamer (ydaO/yuaA leader)
About the family: This family represents a conserved RNA structure found upstream of the ydaO and yuaA genes in Bacillus subtilis and related genes in other bacteria.
Source: RNAcentral
GGAAAAUAAUUGCUUAAUCCCGUUAAGCCGGGAGCGGAGGAACCAUUAUUUGGGGUGAAUCCUAUGCCUUGGCACAGGUAGGGUUUUAAACCUUUCGACCCGAACCCGACAGCUAACUUCGUAAGCAAUGGAAAGGGAGGAU